RNAcentral lists this ribosomal RNA (807 nucleotides) under uncultured bacterium. RNAcentral describes it as "bacterial SSU rRNA". It matches the Rfam family "Bacterial small subunit ribosomal RNA", at positions 590 to 1397 of the family's 1533-position model. The record is from RNAcentral.
UGAUGUGAAAGCCCACGGCUUAACCGUGGAGGGUCAUUGGAAACUGGAGGACUUGAGUACAGAAGAGAAGAGUGGAAUUCCACGUGUAGCGGUGAAAUGCGUAGAGAUGUGAAGGAACACCAGUGGCGAAGGCGACUCUCUGGUCUGUAACUGACGCUGAGGAGCGAAAGCGUGGGGAGCGAACAGGAUUAGAUACCCUGGUAGUCCACGCCGUAAACGAUGAGUGCUAGGUGUUAGGGGGUUUCCGCCCCUUAGUGCUGAAGUUAACGCAUUAAGCACUCCGCCUGGGGAGUACGGCCGCAAGGCUGAAACUCAAAAGAAUUGACGGGGGCCCGCACAAGCGGUGGAGCAUGUGGUUUAAUUCGAAGCAACGCGAAGAACCUUACCAGGUCUUGACAUCCUCUGACAGCGAUAGAGAUAUCGUGUUCCCUUCGGGGACAGAGUGACAGGUGGUGCAUGGUUGUCGUCAGCUCGUGUCGCGAGAUGUUGGGUUAAGUCCCGCAACGAGCGCAACCCUUGAUCUUAGUUGCCAGCAUUAAGUUGGGCACUCUAAGGUGACUGCCGGUGAUAAACCGGAGGAAGGUGGGGAUGACGUCAAAUCAUCAUGCCCCUUAUGACCUGGGCUACACACGUGCUACAAUGGAUGGAACAAAGGGCAGCGAAGCCGCGAGGUGAAGCGAAUCCCAUAAAACCAUUCUCAGUUCGGAUUGUAGGCUGCAACUCGCCUACAUGAAGCCGGAAUCGCUAGUAAUCGCGGAUCAGCAUGCCGCGGUGAAUACGUUCCCGGGCCUUGUACACACCGCCCGU